CGCAUUUCGAAGGUUUACACGGGGCCCCGGUGACGUCUUUUUUCGGACUUCAUUAUGGCUGCUUAAAAAUGGUAUUGUUUGUGUUGCAGAGGCUGACCGAUCCCUGUCAAUGUGCAAUGGCCCGUAGAAACCUAGACGCGUCCAGUAUGUGAUUUGACCCCCGUGGCCUGUAUUUUGUCACAUGGGUGCCCGUUUGUCCAGGAGGAUAUACCUCGACGAGAGAUCUCAAAACACUGCACCUCACUUACCUUGUUGUCUGUCGAGAUGGUCCACCUCUCCAGCGAAGAGGCUCGUCGCAUCUCAUCUCUGUACAGGACGGAGAACCACACUGACUUUGUUAUUCCAAAAAGAAGAGAGAAAAAGCUGAUCGUUUUCAUCCAGAGCUGCUAAACGCUUAGCCAUACACAUUUUUUUCCCAGGAAGGAUUUUACAAAUGGAUUCGAGAAGCAGAUCAUGGUAUUUGUCCUUCAUCAUUUGCUUGAGUUCAAUUGUCUUCGUGCCAGAGAGGGUCCCAUUCCACUCAGAUAUAAUAUAUAUAAAUAUAUGAGCCUCAGCCUUAACUGUACUCUUGUUUUUCCGAUUGGACUUGAGACGUCUGUCAAAAGGCCUUCGUCGUGCGUAGAGAAGCAUACUAGCUAACUCCCUGUGCGGCAUCUCGCUUCUCUUUUAAACCACUAACUGUCGCGAGACGCUCGGAGAUUCGGAGACGAGGCCGCUGGCUGUAUUUCAAACGGUCAUGCUGUCGUUUUCCAGGAGGACAGAGGCAUCGAGCACCUGACGAAGUUGCACCCAAAUCGCCGACCGAGUCGAUUCCUAAAAAUGUUUACAAAACGGUUUACUGCAACGCAACGCUCCAGCAUUCCACAAAACGGACUGUGAAGCAUCCGAUGCAAACGUACGGCGGGUCUGUCCAUCCUCCGUUUCUGUCGCUCGCGUCUCGCAGCGGCUUCCAUCGCGCGCUCGUCCAUGCUUAACGAAAGAGCCAAAGUUGAGCCGUUGCGAUCUCCGUGGCUCUGUCCUCCCAUCUCUCUCUCUCUCCGUGUUCGCAACGAGUCUCUCUAAUGUACCAAGGGAUGUUUCUUUUCCUUUGAAAUGUCUUUCUUUGUUUAAUAAUCCUCUCUUUGUAGAUCAAUGGCCUUUUAGUGUUGCUUUGCUUCAAUCUGGAGUGUAUCUUUCACUAAUACUUGCAAUAAAAAGCUUUGCUUUUGAAACACAG
This is a long non-coding RNA of Cyprinus carpio carpio, 1216 nucleotides long. The record is from Ensembl. Lineage: Eukaryota; Metazoa; Chordata; Actinopteri; Cypriniformes; Cyprinidae.